CUCCGAUCACUCGACAU
This 17-nucleotide ribosomal RNA is filed under the name Otodectes cynotis (ear mite). RNAcentral describes it as "partial 5.8S ribosomal RNA". The record is from RNAcentral. Lineage: Eukaryota; Metazoa; Arthropoda; Arachnida; Sarcoptiformes; Psoroptidae.